Molecule: ribosomal RNA, 492 nt
Filed under: uncultured bacterium
Lineage: Bacteria
Description: partial 16S ribosomal RNA
Rfam family: Bacterial small subunit ribosomal RNA
Source: RNAcentral
AGUGAACGCUGGCGGUAGGCCUAACACAUGCAAGUCGAACGGCAGCACAGUAAGAGUUCGCCUUUAAGGUUGGCGGCUGACGGGCGGGUAAGACAUACAUAGCAUUCCACUUUUUCUGGGGGAACAACGUGGGAAAACUACCGAUAAUACAGCAUAUAACCAACGGCUUAAUGCAGUGGUCCUUGGGGCUUUGGCUGUUUCAUUGAGCUGGUGCCGGAUUAGCUAGUUGGCGGGGUAAGGGCCCACCAAGGCGACGAUCCGUAGCUGGUCUGAGAGGAUGAUCAGCCACACUGGAACUGAGACACGGUCCAGACUCCUACGGGAGGCAGCAGUGGGGAAUAUUGGACAAUGGGCGCAAGCCUGAUCCAGCCAUACCGCGUGGGUGAAGAAGGCCUUCGGGUUGUAAAGCCCUUUUGUUGGGAAAGAAAAGCAGCAGGUUAAUACCCCGCUGUUCUGACGGUACCCAAAGAAUAAGCACCGGCUAACUUCGUG